Raphanus sativus (radish) is the source of this 738-nucleotide long non-coding RNA. RefSeq lists it as uncharacterized. The record is from RefSeq and is a predicted model, not a curated record. The transcript is spliced from 3 exons. Lineage: Eukaryota; Viridiplantae; Streptophyta; Magnoliopsida; Brassicales; Brassicaceae.
UUCAGAGGAGUCAAAAGAUCGGAGAUGCCAACCGAGCCAUCGUCCGCGAGUCCCGUCACUGGCACGACGUCUUCGGGUCAGCUAUCUUUGUGAUCCACCUCAUAUGCUUAGGCUUCGUGCUCGCGGUGCUUGGACUCAACAUGUUUACUUGCAUCAUGUAUUGGCAUAUAAGGUGAUUUGGACAUUCUAAUUAGAGAAAGCGCGGGCAAGGCAUAACGGAAUAUUGCUGGAAAACGCCACUACGAUGAUCUCUAGAUUGACGGUUGGCUUUAUAUUGAUUACCCUUCAGAUAUUUACAUCAUCGCUCAUCGGAAACGCUGACACCAAAGAAGUUGCUUAUUCUAGCUCUUCAGGAAGCUGAGAGAAAUGGAAAUAGCAUAUAUAUUAUCUGCCUUAUCCGUGAGUACAAUUAUUCCUUCCACUCAAGCCCUUUGAUUAGUGUUCCGGAUUAGUCUGGGGCUUUAUUUAACUGCUACUGGUUACAAUAUGAACCUUUGUGUCCAUGUAUGUGAAAUAACUACUGCCCAACCCUUCCUUUGUUUAGUCAUGUGUUCUCCACAGUACAAAUGUUGUGAAAUAGAUGUUCCCAUUAUCGAGGAGAUACGCCAUACAUGUUCCACCUAUCUGUUAUGCUUCCAUCGUGGCAUUAGUUUGUUUUGUUUCCAUGAUAAGGUGGCUAAGAUUUGAUGCUUUUUGAUCAGGUGGCUAAUUGAUGCUCACUGCAGGUUUCAACUGAAU